UCCUCUUUACAGAGGCAGUUUGUUCCGAGUCCCCGGCAUUAUCCGCUGGUAACAGAACAUGAGGGUUGCGCUCGUUGCGGGACUUAACCCAACAUUUCACAACACGAGCUGACGACAGCCAUGCACCACCUGUGCACCACCCUCGAAGGCGACGAUGUUUCCAUCGCGUGCAGGUGCAUGUCAAGCCCUGGUAAGGUUCUUCGCGUUGCAUCGAAUUAAGCCACAUGCUCCACCGCUUGUGCGGGCCCCCGCCAAUUCCUUUGAGUUUUAAUCUUGCGAUCGUAGUUCCCAGGCGGUUCACUUAAUGCGUUAGCUGCGGCACCGAAGCAGAGCCCCGACACCUAGUGAACAUCGUUUAUGGCCAAGACUAC
This 371-nucleotide unclassified non-coding RNA is filed under the name uncultured bacterium. RNAcentral's name for it is "contains 16S-23S intergenic spacer region". The record is from RNAcentral.